RNAcentral lists this long non-coding RNA (610 nucleotides) under Manihot esculenta (cassava). RNAcentral describes it as "long non-coding RNA (MESC_LNC000966)". Lineage: Eukaryota; Viridiplantae; Streptophyta; Magnoliopsida; Malpighiales; Euphorbiaceae. The record is from RNAcentral.
AGAAUUGGAAGGAGAUCGGUAGAGGCUUAAAUGAAGGAAACUUUCAGAUCUUCACUCAUGAUCAUGAAGCAACAGCAACUUAAAUGAAGGACACUUACAGAGAAUUGACAGAUGGGGUAGCUGGGCCAGCCAUGGCGGCUGGAUGUAUCAGAUAUGAUUGAGACUCUUUGCCAUGCACUCCGGGAUUCUAUAUAGUUCAAUCUUAAGGUUGAAAUGAAUUGAAACUAUCAUGUUCAUGCUUCUAAUUCAUUUUCAUUCUAACCAACAUGGGGAAAAUUUGCGGUUUUUUCAUCCUGAUGCAGGUAACGAAAGCAAAGUUGAACUGUCAAGAUUUAUGACAGGACUGUUGUCACAAGUUAUGCUUCCUAGUCCAUAGACAACAUUUGGACCAAAUUUACAGUUGUUUUUUGAGCACCUGUUUUUGAUUUUAACAUUGGAGAGAAUUGUCCCUAGGGAUUAACUAAUCAAAAGUUUUCAGGAUCCAAUACCACUGGAAUUCGGCUAACUGGAGAAAUUAUGAAAAGGAAAGCUUGUAAAAUCAAAAGGAAAGUCUCACUUAUUUAUUUAUUAUUUAUGUGACUUUGAUUUAGAUAUGUUUUCCAUCUACCCG